This 363-nucleotide ribosomal RNA is filed under the name Triticum aestivum (bread wheat). Its description in RNAcentral is "partial small subunit ribosomal RNA". Lineage: Eukaryota; Viridiplantae; Streptophyta; Magnoliopsida; Poales; Poaceae. The record is from RNAcentral.
AUGGACGCCGAUAAGGUGGCAGCUGUCGCAGCCUGGCCGACGCCGCACUCACCACGGGCUAUCCGCGGCUUCCUGGGCCUCGCAGGGUACUAUCAGAAAUUUAUCCGAGAGUUCGGCCUCAUCGCAUCCCCGCUGACGCGCCUGCUGCGACGCGACACGUUCGCCUGGGAUGCGGAGGCCACUAAGGCGUUCGAGGCUCUCAAGAGGGCCCUCACGACGGGUCCCGUCCUCCAGAUGCCCGACUUUGACCGGCCGUUCAUGGUGGACUGCGACGCCUUUGGUGUGGGGUUUCGGCGCCGUCCUUCAUCAGGGCGACAGGCCGCUUGCGUUCUUCAGCAGGCCCUUCGCCGCGCGCUAUCAUAA